GAGAGGCCAUUUUGUCACGGCGUCGUCAGUGUGCAAGCAUCGAUCAUCCGUCUUGCUGCGGACAGUCCAGGGAGGUGGGGAAAUACCUGUACUCUCAGGAAACCAAAUCAAGCCUUGGCACGAGGCCACCGUGGAAGGAUUAUAUCCGAUCACAUGGAAACCCAGCUAGUGUUCUCAGGACCAAGAGAUGCUAAACCAAUAAACAACGAUGGCAGAACACACUCCAAGCCACCUUUUGCUUCUAGAAGACAGAUGCAAACUACGCUUGUUGCAAGGCUACCAAGCGGGCCUGUGAUGAAUCCAGCAGCAGUGUCUUCAAUCACAGAAAGUGCUUUUAGAAAACAUUAUGGUAAUGCUUAGCGCUAAAUGCUGUUUGUCCCUGAAAAAAGGAAAAAUCACUGUGAAGAAAACAAGAAAGUAGCACAGAGACAAGAGUGUUCGCUGCAGGAAAAGCGCUUCUUCACUCCAUCUGCAAAUGUUUUUCCUACGCAAAAUCAAGAUGGCUUCAAGCAACAAAAUUCACAUGAUGAACAGUCCCCAGGCUUGA
Long non-coding RNA from Aquila chrysaetos chrysaetos, 547 nucleotides. RefSeq lists it as uncharacterized. The transcript is spliced from 3 exons. Lineage: Eukaryota; Metazoa; Chordata; Aves; Accipitriformes; Accipitridae. The record is from RefSeq and is a predicted model, not a curated record.